UUACGAGAUUGUUAUGGGAUUGCUUCUAUUUACUUCAGUUGCUUUACUAGCAUGCGUUAAUCCGCCGUAAUCUAAAUUCCAAACCCGGAUGUUGUUUAAUCAACUAUUCAGCAGAGAUCUCCAAAUUAUAUCUAAUUUUUUGUAUUCUUGGUGGAUAUAUAGCUGAGAUAUCAUUCUUCUCAAAACAAAGGACUAAAUUUGCAAUCUUGGAAAAUUCUUCAAUACUGACAUUGUUUACUUACAUUGUAAAUAAUUAUGUAGUGCUGGUCGGAGCAUUUUUGGGGAGUUAAUAGUCAUAUUGGCUAAUUGCACCA
Molecule: long non-coding RNA, 314 nt
Organism: Lycium ferocissimum
Lineage: Eukaryota; Viridiplantae; Streptophyta; Magnoliopsida; Solanales; Solanaceae
Exons: 2
Source: RefSeq, a predicted model, not a curated record